GAUGAACGCUGGCGGCGUGCCUAAUACAUGCAAGUCGAGCGAACAGACGAGGAGCUUGCUCCUCUGACGUUAGCGGCGGACGGGUGAGUAACACGUGGAUAGCCUACCUAUAAGACUGGGAUAACUUCGGGAAACCGGAGCUAAUACCGGAUAAUAUAUUGAACCGCAUGGUUCAAUAGUGAAAGACGGUUUUGCUGUCACUUAUAGAUGGAUCCGCGCCGCAUUAGCUAGUUGGUAAGGCAACGGCUUACCAAGGCAACGAUGCGUAGCCGACCUGAGAGGGUGAUCGGCCACACUGGAACUGAGACACGGUCCAGACUCCUACGGGAGGCAGCAGUAGGGAAUCUUCCGCAAUGGGCGAAAGCCUGACGGAGCAACGCCGCGUGAGUGAUGAAGGUCUUCGGAGCGUAAAACUCUGUUAUUAGGGAAGAACAAAUGUGUAAGUAACUAUGCACGGCUUGACGGUACCUAAUCAGAAAGCCACGGCUAACUACGUG
Molecule: ribosomal RNA, 497 nt
Filed under: uncultured bacterium
Lineage: Bacteria
Description: partial 16S ribosomal RNA
Rfam family: Bacterial small subunit ribosomal RNA
Source: RNAcentral